RNAcentral lists this ribosomal RNA (446 nucleotides) under uncultured bacterium. RNAcentral's name for it is "bacterial SSU rRNA". It matches the Rfam family "Bacterial small subunit ribosomal RNA", at positions 330 to 792 of the family's 1533-position model. The record is from RNAcentral.
ACCAGACUCCUACGGGAGGCAGCAGUGGGGAAUAUUGCACAAUGGGGGAAACCCUGAUGCAGCGACGCCGCGUGAGUGAAGAAGUAUUUCGGUAUGUAAAGCUCUAUCAGCAGGAACGAGACAAGACGGUACCUGACUAAGAAGCCCCGGCUAACUACGUGCCAGCAGCCGCGGUAAUACGUAGGGGGCAAGCGUUAUCCGGAAUCACUGGGUGUAAAGGGAGCGUAGACGGCUGUGCAAGCCUGAAGUGAAAGGCGGGGGCCCAACCCCUGGACUGCUUUGGGAACUGUACGGCUGGAGUGCAGGAGAGGUAAGUGGAAUUCCUAGUGUAGCGGUGAAAUGCGUAGAUAUUAGGAGGAACACCAGUGGCGAAGGCGGCUUACUGGACUGUAACUGACGUUGAGGCUCGAAAGCGUGGGGAGCAAACAGGAUUAGAUACCCUCGUA